This 278-nucleotide ribosomal RNA is filed under the name uncultured Oscillospiraceae bacterium. RNAcentral describes it as "partial 16S ribosomal RNA". It matches the Rfam family "Bacterial small subunit ribosomal RNA", at positions 511 to 788 of the family's 1533-position model. The record is from RNAcentral. Lineage: Bacteria; Bacillati; Bacillota; Clostridia; Eubacteriales; Oscillospiraceae.
GCAGCCGCGGUAAUACAUAGGGGGCAAGCGUUAUCCGGAAUUAUUGGGCGUAAAGCGUGCGUAGGCGGUUUAUUAAGUCUGAUGUUAAAUCCCACAGCUUAACUGUGGUUGGUCAUUGGAAACUGGUAAACUUGAGUACAGUAGGGGUAAGUGGAAUUCCAAGUGGAGCGGUGGAAUGCGUAGAUAUUUGGAGGAACACCAGUGGCGAAGGCGGCUUACUGGGCUGGAACUGACGCUGAGGCACGAAAGCGUGGGGAGCAAACAGGAUUAGAUACCCC